AGUGAACGCUGGCGGUAGGCCUAACACAUGCAAGUCGAACGGCAGCACAGUAAGAGCUUGCUCUUACGGGUGGCGAGUGGCGGACGGGUGAGGAAUACAUCGGAAUCUACUUUUUCGUGGGGGAUAACGUAGGGAAACUUACGCUAAUACCGCAUACGACCUACGGGUGAAAGCAGGGGAUCUUCGGACCUUGCGCGAUUGAAUGAGCCGAUGUCGGAUUAGCUAGUUGGCGGGGUAAAGGCCCACCAAGGCGACGAUCCGUAGCUGGUCUGAGAGGAUGAGCAGCCACACGGGAACUGAGACACGGUCCAGACUCCUACGGGAGGCAGCAGUGGGGAAUAUUGGACAUUGGGCGCAAGCCUGAUCCAGCCAUACCGCGUGGGUGAAGAAGGCCGUCGGGUUGUAAAGCCCUCUUGUUGGGAAAGAAAAGCGGCAGGUUAAUACCCCGCUGUUCUGACGGUACCCAAAGAAUAAGCACCGGCUAACUUCGUG
Molecule: ribosomal RNA, 492 nt
Filed under: uncultured bacterium
Lineage: Bacteria
Description: partial 16S ribosomal RNA
Rfam family: Bacterial small subunit ribosomal RNA
Source: RNAcentral